AGAAUCAACGCUGGCGGCGUGCCUAACACAUGCAAGUCGAACGCGAAAGCCCCGCAAGGGGUGAGUAGAGUGGCAAACGGGUGAGUAACACGUGGGUGACCUGCCUCAGAGUGGGGGAUAACGACCCUAAAGGGUCGCUAAUACCGCAUAACAUCCUGCGCUUGGAUGCGUGGAGAUCAAAGCCGGGGAUUCGCAAGAACCUGGCGCUUGGAGAGGGGCCCGCGGCCGAUUAGCUAGUUGGUGAGGUAACGGCUCACCAAGGCGACGAUCGGUA
This 274-nucleotide ribosomal RNA is filed under the name uncultured bacterium. Its description in RNAcentral is "partial small subunit ribosomal RNA". It matches the Rfam family "Bacterial small subunit ribosomal RNA", at positions 26 to 285 of the family's 1533-position model. The record is from RNAcentral.